GCCUGCUUAGCUCAGACGGAAGAGCGUUCGGCUGUUAACCGAAAGGUCGUAGGAUCGAUGCCUACAGCAGGCG
RNAcentral lists this transfer RNA (73 nucleotides) under Lasius niger. It matches the Rfam family "tRNA". Rfam says of the family: Transfer RNA (tRNA) molecules are approximately 80 nucleotides in length. Their secondary structure includes four short double-helical elements and three loops (D, anti-codon, and T loops). The record is from Rfam by way of RNAcentral. Lineage: Eukaryota; Metazoa; Arthropoda; Insecta; Hymenoptera; Formicidae.